This is a long non-coding RNA of Olea europaea var. sylvestris, 2012 nucleotides long. RefSeq lists it as uncharacterized. The transcript is spliced from 4 exons. The record is from RefSeq and is a predicted model, not a curated record. NCBI's taxonomy places the organism in Eukaryota, Viridiplantae, Streptophyta, Magnoliopsida, Lamiales, Oleaceae.
GGAAGAGGAGGGAGAGGGUUUGGGCAGGAGGCAACAAGUCAACGUCAGUAGCUGUAAGAAAAGGCUAGAAAUUAGCCAUUAAAACUCUCUCAACAUAUGUAUGACUCAAGUGGAGAGUCAUGCAUGGCUCUUCACCUUCACAAAUAUCAAAACCCUAUAAAUAUAUUACUGCUUUUCUGUUUCAAACUGGGCUUUUACUUUUAUAUAUGUAUGUUGGUUUGAGAGGUUGAAGCUGCCAGCAUGAUCUGGUAAGAAACAAAUCUAUAUUCUUCUUUUCUUGAAUUCUCACAACCAUUUAACAGAAAUCCAACCAAUCCUCCACCCUUGAUCCAUGAUAUUGAUGUUGAUUUUUUGAGUUCUUGAUUUUCUGGGAUUUGAUUUUGACUCGACCAAAUUAAAGUUGACCGAUUCACCUUUGUCGAAAAUGAAGUUAGCUUCUAAGAUUUGGCUUCAAUCAGGUCAUCUAGCAGCUUCAAUCACUCACCAACAAUACUGUAAAUCAAUUUCUUUGCACUCAACUUCUGAUCAUGGAUUAGUCCCUUGAGUUUCUUGACCUCAUCAGCACAGAAGGUAGAGAAAAUCCUUCCAUCUCCAAUCAUGUAGGGGACUUCGAAACCAAGGUACCGACCCGAACAUGGUAUGCAUAUAAAUAAAGAAGCUAGAAGUAUACACAAAGAAAGGGCUUUUCAGCUUUGCCAAAUUUGCUCAGCAAUCAGCAUCAACAGAUAAGAUAGUUCAAUGAUGUGUUUGGCAAGAGAGACAAUGGAUGAUUUUCAACAGGGAAGAACGAACAGUAACAGACAUCCAACGGCUAUCGGUUAUCAAGAUUUUAAGCUUCAAUACCAUCCCCAUUCCGCCAGUACAAAAUAACAUUAUUACACCGGAGUGCAGCUGAAGAAAGAUCUCUGAGUUACACCACGUCAAAGAUCUCUUAGUUACACCACGUCCUCAUCGACUGGAAGGUAUUCCAGAUCUUCGACAUUGACUGGUUGGUGCAGCUGCAUACAUAACUAGAAUCAUUGAAAAUGGAUGCCAAGAGGAUCUAAUUACAACUUGAAAAGACCUCCUAAAGAAAAAGGCGGCCUGUCAGUCAGAGUAAUGAAUCUGGACCACUGAUGAUAAUAACACACGCUAGGUAGAUGCAAAGUUAGGAACUUAUUGAUUGGCCGGGAAUGCCUGGAUGUAUUUGUAUAUGUAUUUUGGAUGAUUUGCUCGGGUAUGCCCGGUGUACUUGUACAUGAUUAUGAUCAAUAUAUUACACAUUUAUCGAUAAAAAAAAAGUUAGGAAUUUAUCAUAUGCAUUUUGUGCUCUUUGAAUGGUCCAAAUUUGUGCACUCAUGCAGUUGUCUUAGCAUUCCUCUCUGGGUCGCUAAACAAAUGUCCAAGCUAAAUCACAACUUCGAAAGGUUUGUUCAGGGAAUAAUAGAACAGAAGAUGAAAAUUACUCUGAGCAAAUUCAAGAACGCGAUUUAAAUUUUUCUCACAAAUUAAACCACAUCGAUUCAUUUCCUAUCUUAAAUAAGAUAUCACUGAAAACAAAACAGAGAAGACAAUAACAAUAUCAUUCCAAACAAGUCGAACAAAACACAGAAAGAUGGCCUAUGCUAGGAUUCAUUGUUUAUUCAAUCAAUCAAGAACUCAAAAGAGUAGACUGGGGUACCAAAAGAAUAGUCUUGCUAGACAAAUUGUGGUGUUAGCUUAGUGACAUAUAGGUUCGGCCCAACUACUAAAACCUACUGAUGGCCAAAUUUCACCAGCCCUAAUCAACUAUUAUAACAUUAGCUGUGCUCCUAGGAAAAGUAUUUACACCAGAAAAUAAGUCCAUGUUUCAAGGAACUUGUCUUAGUUCAAAUUAUUAUUUCAGAGAACCAAUAAAGUGCACACAAAUUUCUCAGAAGUAUAAAACAUGGACAUUCACAAUGACGCCUUAUAAACAAGUUAUAUUCUAUAAAAUUGAAGUAUGCCAAGAUGAGAUCCAUCAAGUGUCUCAAGACCACAUAAGUCAAAUAAGA